AGUCGCCCACGGAUCGGGUGAGAUCACGCACUGUAAGGUCGCCAAGACGGUUCCCCACGGAUCGGGUGAGACUGAAUUCACCAAGACGGUUGCCCAUGGAUCGGGUGAGACCAUACGCUGGGAAGUCGUCUAAAUGGUUGCCCUCAGAUAGGGUGAAACCUGCUGCUGGAGAAGUACGCCUUGAAGCACCGGAGCGCUUGGGUCAUGACAGUGGAUUUCGGUUGACG
This is a non-coding RNA of Pelobates cultripes (western spadefoot toad), 227 nucleotides long. The record is from the annotation of a GenBank genome assembly. NCBI's taxonomy places the organism in Eukaryota, Metazoa, Chordata, Amphibia, Anura, Pelobatidae.